UUAGCAGGUUUGUAUGUGGGUGUCCAAAAUGGGCACUAGUCACGACCCAUCGGGUUGGGUCGUGACAAUGAAUUGGAGAAAUUCAUCACUCAUACACUUCCCAUACUAUUAAAUCGACAAUGCUUUUUUAAUUAAUAUUGAAGGGAAAAGGCCUUCGUGGCAUCAUCACCAUGGAGGACUAAACUUACUGUCCUAGAAAAGGACCUUCUAGCUAGUCGCUUUUGUUUGAGAAAAGACCAUGAAUUGGGUGGAACACUAUGAGAAGGAUUCGAAAGCUGCAAUGGCUGGACUAUUGAACAUGAUGUUUGAGGUAAUUUGAUUUUUAAAUGUUUUGUCUUUCUGAUAAACGAGGCAUCUUUUAAUCAUGGUGAAAGGGAAGCUCUGAGAUCUUGUAUAAAAGCUUUGAAUUUCUGGGCUACUGAGAUUUGGUGAAAGUUACAAGACUUCACCCUGAACAUAUUGAAAAGGAUUAUAGAUGAGCUCAUUAUCAAUGUAUGAUUGUUCCAAAAAAGGGCAUUAGUGCAAUAUGGAGAACUGUAGUAUUUAAGAUGGACACUUUCAUCAAAUGCUCCCUUUGAUGUCUGCCUAGUCUUCCUUCAGGAUUUUAAAUCUUCUGUCCUUCCGGUUAAAGAGGCAUUUAUUUAGAAUGGUGAGAAGGAAUCUCUAGAAUCUUGUGUAAAGCAUUGAACUUCUGUGCUUCUGAGAGUCGUGGGGAGUUGCAGCUUGGUUCACUCAUCUCCUGAUAGUGCCUUAGCUAGAAGCUUUGGGGUACUCAUCAGAUAUAUGCAACGAAAGCAGCUUCCAGACUUGGUAAACUGAUGAUGGAUGCCCUUAUUUUCAUGCAUAUGGAAUUGAGAAGAUCAUAUGGACCUGCAGAGUGGUUGCCUUCAAUGGAUCUAACGGGAUAAGCUUGAACUAGGCAGUUGAAGGACAUAGCUUGGUGGAUGGCUGUCAUACGGGAUGGUGAUGUUUGAAUAUUCACUGCUUGUAAACUUGAAAAUGUUGGAUGAUCUUCAAUUAUUGAGGCAAAUUUCCAUCAAAAGCUUGCAUAAUAAUCUUGCACAGACUGCCUCCUAGGCUUAGCUCGAGUGGAAGAAGGUUGUGUCGCAGGUUUGAGCCCCACACCAUGCAAAGUGAAGCCCGGAGGCGGGCCUAUUAUCCACUGAGUUUAGAAGGCUAUGAUUGGUCCAAAGAGCGGGUCACAUGCGGAUUUCUCGGUUAUAAAAAAAGAAUCUUGCAGAAACUUUCAAGAGCUCUUGAAGUUUUCAUGACUGGUGAUAGCUCGCCAAUAGGGAUGGUACUGUUUUCUUGAAUGACGGUCUCUUGGAGAUGAAGUGAAUUCUCCAAAUUCCUUAGCACCUCACCCGUAGAUGGAAUGUGCACCAGAUUCAGCUGAGUAUUUAAGUGCGUUUCUCCAAACUUGCUAAAGGAAUCUGGUCUUAUAUUGCCCAGAAAGUCGGGAUCUAUGAUAUGUUCCAUCUAUCUCUUCUAUUGCAAAUUCAUUGCCCAGUCACCUAAGUUGACCUUCUCCCUUGGAAGAGAUCGAUCUCGGGAAGACCUAGCACAAAGAAAUUCACAUUAAAUGGUCACCAAUGGAGAAAGAAGAAGGAUGGUGAAACUUUUUAAGAACUGUGAAAGACACUCACCAAAAGGUGAAGAUGUUUUUGAAAGUCUUGGAGCACCUUUGAAUGUUGCUAAACCCACAAAAGAUUCAAGUGUGGCUAUUUUUUGACUCGGAGCUGCUGCAGACGGAGCAAAAAUUGCUACCGCUUCAAGGAUAAUUUGUGUCGAUUUAAAUGCUAGAUGAUUUCAGUAAGCUAAGAAAUUUUGCGUGAAAAAGUUUGUGAACCCGAAGGAUUAAAGUAAACCAGGUCAAGAGGUACUAAUAUCUGCUUCUCCUAAUGGAUCAUUUUGCGAAAGAAGAAAAAGACAAAUGCGAGACAUAGUGGAUCAUCUUUUCUUGAAUUUUGAUUAAUUGAUUAGGUAACUGAUGAGAUGACUGAUUUUGCAAAUUCGAUCUGAGUGUGAAGUGUACUGGCCAUAUUGAUGUAUGUUUUCUAUCAUGAAAUUUCCUUAAUUGUACAUUAUUAUUUUUAUAAUAAUCUUAACGAA
Solanum lycopersicum (tomato) is the source of this 2112-nucleotide long non-coding RNA. RefSeq lists it as uncharacterized. Lineage: Eukaryota; Viridiplantae; Streptophyta; Magnoliopsida; Solanales; Solanaceae. The record is from RefSeq and is a predicted model, not a curated record.